GUGUGUAUCUCUGUGUCAGUGUGUAUCUGUGUAUAUGUAUCUGACACACAUACAGGCACAUAGUGGCACACAGAUGCACAUUGACACACAGAUACACAC
Molecule: non-coding RNA, 99 nt
Organism: Pelobates cultripes (western spadefoot toad)
Lineage: Eukaryota; Metazoa; Chordata; Amphibia; Anura; Pelobatidae
Source: the annotation of a GenBank genome assembly